GUGCCAGCAGCCGCGGUAAUUCCAGCUCCAAUAGCGUAUAUUAAAGUUGUUGUGGUUAAAAAGCUCGUAGUUGAACCUUGGGCCUGGCUGGCCGGUCCGCCUCACCGCGUGCACUGGUCCGGCCGGGCCUUUCCCUCUGUGGAACCCCAUACCCUUCACUGGGCGUGGCGGGGAAACAGGACAUUUACUUUGAAAAAAUUAGAGUGCUCCAGGCAGGCCUAUGCUCGAAUACAUUAGCAUGGAAUAAUAAAAUAGGACGCGCGGUUCUAUUUUGUUGGUUUAUAGGACCGCCGUAAUGAUUAAUAGGGACAGUCGGGGGCAUCAGUAUUCAACUGUCAGAGGUGAAAUUCUUGGAUCAGUUGAAGACUAACUACUGCGAAAGCAUUUGCCAAGGAUGUUUUCAUUAAUCAGGAACGAAAGUUAGGGGAUCGAAGACGAUCAGAUACCGUCGUAGUCUUAACCAUAAACUAUGCCGACUAGGGAUCGGACGGUGUUAUUCAUGACCCGUUCGGCACCUUACGAGAAAUCAAAGUGCUUGGGCUCCAGGGGGAGUAUGGUCGCAAGGCUGAAACUUAAAGAAAUUGACGGAAGGGCACCACCAGGGGUGGAGCCUGCGGCUUAAUUUGACUCAACACGGGGAAACUCACCAGGUCCAGACGCAAUAAGGAUUGACAGAUUGAGAGCUCUUUUCUUGAUUUGUGGGUGGUGGAUGCAUGGGCCGUUCUUAGUUGGUGGGGUGACUUGUCUGCUUAAUUGCGAUAACGAACGAGACCUUAACCUGCUAAAUAGCCCGCAUUGCUCUGCAAGUC
RNAcentral lists this ribosomal RNA (809 nucleotides) under uncultured fungus. Its description in RNAcentral is "SSU rRNA". It matches the Rfam family "Eukaryotic small subunit ribosomal RNA", at positions 564 to 1378 of the family's 1831-position model. The record is from RNAcentral. Lineage: Eukaryota; Fungi.